This 300-nucleotide ribosomal RNA is filed under the name Filobacillus milosensis. RNAcentral's name for it is "Bacterial small subunit ribosomal RNA". It matches the Rfam family "Bacterial small subunit ribosomal RNA", at positions 651 to 951 of the family's 1533-position model. Lineage: Bacteria; Bacillati; Bacillota; Bacilli; Caryophanales; Bacillaceae. The record is from Rfam by way of RNAcentral.
GAAGAGGAGAGCGGAAUUCCACGUGUAGCGGUGAAAUUCGUAGAUAUGUGGAGGAACACCAGUGGCGAAGGCGGCUCUCUGGUCUGUUACUGACGCUGAGGUGCGAAAGCGUGGGGAGCGAACAGGAUUAGAUACCCUGGUAGUCCACGCCGUAAACGAUGAGUGCUAGGUGUUAGGGGUUUCCACCCUUAGUGCUGCAGUUAACGCAAUAAGCACUCCGCCUGGGGAGUACGGCCGCAAGGCUGAAACUCAAAGGAAUUGACGGGUGCCCGCACAAGCGGUGGAGCAUGUGGUUUAAUU